Molecule: unclassified non-coding RNA, 268 nt
Filed under: uncultured fungus
Lineage: Eukaryota; Fungi
Description: partial contains 18S rRNA, ITS1, 5.8S rRNA, ITS2 and 28S rRNA
Source: RNAcentral
AAGGAUCAUUACAGUAAAUAGCUGUUAUAGACCGAUGUCUUGGAUUAAAACACUGGUAUGAAUAAGAUCUGCCAUGUGGCCUAUUUAUUUAGGCAUCCUCCAUCACCUAACCAUGUUAAUAUAACUAAAGCGUAACCUUGGUAGAUAUUUUUUCUGCCAGUGGAAGCAUUAAACUCUUUUUUAAAUUAAACAAGCUUAUAAUUAGUAUUAGUCUGCAUAAUCAAGUUAAAUAUUAUUAAAACUUUCAACAACGGAUCUCUUGGUUCUG